GCGACAGAAGGGAGCUUGCUCCCGGAUGUUAGCGGCGGACGGGUGAGUAACACGUGGGUAACCUGCCUGUAAGACUGGGAUAACUCCGGGAAACCGGAGCUAAUACCGGAUAGUUCCUUGAACCGCAUGGUUCAAGGAUGAAAGACGGUUUCGGCUGUCACUUACAGAUGGACCCGCGGCGCAUUAGCUAGUUGGUGGGGUAAUGGCUCACCAAGGCGACGAUGCGUAGCCGACCUGAGAGGGUGAUCGGCCACACUGGGACUGAGACACGGCCCAGACUCCUACGGGAGGCAGCAGUAGGGAAUCUUCCGCAAUGGACGAAAGUCUGACGGAGCAACGCCGCGUGAGUGAUGAAGGUUUUCGGAUCGUAAAGCUCUGUUGUUAGGGAAGAACAAGUGCGAGAGUAACUGCUCGCACCUUGACGGUACCUAACCAGAAAGCCACGGCUAACUACGUGCCAGCAGCCGCGGUAAUACGUAGGUGGCAAGCGUUGUCCGGAAUUAUUGGGCGUAAAGGGCUCGCAGGCGGUUUCUUAAGUCUGAUGUGAAAGCCCCCGGCUCAACCGGGGAGGGUCAUUGGAAACUGGGAAACUUGAGUGCAGAAGAGGAGAGUGGAAUUCCACGUGUAGCGGUGAAAUGCGUAGAGAUGUGGAGGAACACCAGUGGCGAAAGCGACUCUCUGGUCUGUAACUGACGCUGAGGAGCGAAAGCGUGGGGAGCGAACAGGAUUAGAUACCCUGGUAGUCCACGCCGUAAACGAUGAGUGCUAAGUGUUUAGGGGGUUUCCCGCCCCUUAGUGCUGCAGCUAACGCAUUAAGCACUCCGCCUGCGGGGAGUACGGUCGCAAGGACUGAAACUCAAAGGAA
This 865-nucleotide ribosomal RNA is filed under the name Bacillus pumilus. RNAcentral's name for it is "bacterial SSU rRNA". It matches the Rfam family "Bacterial small subunit ribosomal RNA", at positions 66 to 909 of the family's 1533-position model. Lineage: Bacteria; Bacillati; Bacillota; Bacilli; Caryophanales; Bacillaceae. The record is from RNAcentral.